Non-coding RNA from Struthio camelus australis, 3220 nucleotides. Lineage: Eukaryota; Metazoa; Chordata; Aves; Struthioniformes; Struthionidae. The record is from RefSeq and is a predicted model, not a curated record.
ACCUUACACAGAAGAGGAAGGAAAAAGGCAUUUUGUGUUUGCUCAGAUGUGAUGCUUGUUAGCCCCAGUAUAGCUAAUCCUCUCUGUGUGACCUUUCUAACUUGAUUUCCAGGCAAUGGAGUAGCCCAGAAAUCGCUUUGGACAGCUGGAGAAGUGUCGACCCCACAUUGCUUGCUCCACCCCAGCUCAAGAUCUAGGUCUCGUACAGUGCUGGGAGCAUGAUGGCAGUGCAGUUAGCAGCCAAGAUACAGCAUUACAAACCUCAGGAGGAGCAAAUUGAAUAUUCAUAUAGUCUGCACAGAGCAUCCUAGUUCAGAAUUCUCAACUGCUUCCCACACUGUACUGGGUUUCUAAAAUCCCACCACUUUGCCACCAAGAUCUUUGAACUCUCUAGCCAGUCCAGCAGUUUCUGCAGCACAGGUUUUGGCUUUGCAGUCAGUGAGCAGAAGCAAUCCCAAGUGACUGAGGAAGACCAGUCACCCACGCUGCAGAGUGCAAACUGGCCCGUCCUGCUGUGUUCAAACGGAACAGACCUUGAGCAAGCCACGACACACAAAUACCUGAUGUAUUACUUCAGCAGCAAAUUCAACAAGGCCAAGAUGUCUUCAUUUCCCUUUAGAGCAAGGGCCGUAAGAGCGGUGCGAUGGAAGCAUUGGUCUUCUGUGGCCAGCCAGCAAGAACCCAUCAGCAGCUGUGAUGAGCAGAGCAGACAUGGGGAGACAGGAGGCAGGCGAAGCCAAAGAGGACCCACGCCUGGAGCUGUGUUUGUGAUUGGAGCAGAGAGAGGCCAGGACCCAAGGAAAUCCCAGCAGCAAAGGAAAAAAACAGAUUGACUCUCAGUGACUCAUUUAGCUCCUGGAUUGGACAGAUCUCUCCCCUGCUGGCAACUUGGCUGAGCAUCAAUGGACAGAUACCAGGAUGAAUAGCUUAAAAUAAUUAGGGGCUUGGAAUCUGCAAAAUUGCUAGCCAUCCAAUUCUUUUACUGUGCAGUGCGAGGCACAAAAAAGAAAUUACAUUUAGAUUAUUAAAUAUUAAGUCACAGGAUUUACCUCCAUUUGGUCCAGAACAGGAAACUGGAUAAAAUUCAACAUUUAUAUCGUUGUGUUGAUGGCCUGUUUAUCACUGAACAAAUUAGAGCAUUUUGGCAGGUCACGCUCUUUGACACAUGGGGUGAAUGUGUGCUUAAUUUCUCCCAAACAGAAGAAUUAAUAUAGUAAUAAUUAACAUAGAUGAGAACAGAAUUAAAAUCAAAUACAGUCAAGAGUUCAGUUUUAUGCCAGAAGUCUUACAUUUUAUAUGUUGUGGGGCCAGAUUUUUUUCCUGUUGAAGACGGCAAGGAUUUUGCCAUUGAUGUUAAUGGGAGCAGUAGUAGGCCUUGAAUGCAGAGAAACAGGAUUCCCUGUACUUUAAUGCUCGAAAACAGAAGCAACAGGCUCAUUUAGUAUCAGUAAAGGUCAGUUAAAAUUAUAGAGACAUCCUUUGGAGCAAAUCCUCUGCCUUGUAUUUGCAUAUUUAUGAACUAGAGAUUAUGACAGGCCGUUCCAUUUAUUAGAGAAGCGUCGCUAUAGUUAAUAGUCUGUCAGUAUUUCCAUUACAAACCCCGUUUUUCAGUUUUUUAAUAUCUCAGCCGUUUAAAAUCACAUCAGGAAGCAAGUUGGCCCUCGUGUUGUCAGGCCAGGAUAGAAGGGAAAAGAGGAAUUUAGCCAGUCACAUCCCCCAAGAUGGCACCUUUUAAGAACACUUUCUCAGGCAGCUGCUCUCCGAAGAAACGCAUUUACCCCAUGGAAAGAGAAACAGACAGUUCCUGGUAAUGGGUCUGCUUUCACCAUUUGAAUUCAAGCCCGUUAAAGGAUUUGAGGAAAGCCAUUCAGCGCUGUGGGUAGCGAGGAAUGAACGCGAUCUGUCUACAUGAGUUACAGAGCCGUGAGGAAGAAGAGCUUUCAGAGCUAACCAAGAGUUAACUGGCUACAUUUCAACUGUCACCAUUGUCUUACAUCUACAUAGCGAGCAAGAGAGCCAGAGAGAUGUAAAUGCUUCAGAAAUGUACGAUUUCCUGUAAAAAUCCAAUGAACACAACAGCCCAGAUGCCUCGGAGACGGGCACUCUAGAAACACAGAGGAUCUGCACCACUGCAUGUGAAGCCCUGCUAGGAAAUGUGGCCAGCAUGUGGGAGUUCAAAGGCUUUGGCUGCUACAGCGUUGGCUUCUGAGUGCCGUCACACCUAGGAGGACCUAGACGCUGAAAGACGUGACCAUGCUCACACAGUAGCCUUUGAAACAGAGCACGUGAGUGAACCUGCUCCUAACCACUUUUGUAGAUGUGUCAUCAAGCGACCUACACAGCCCUCUUGCAGUCCUAUCAAGGCUGGAUUUGGGAGGAGGCAGCAUUUUCUACUGAAAAAAUAAACAUUUGUAACCAACCUGAUUGAUUAACUCUGUGUUAUCCCAGAAGAGUGGCCACAGCCAUACAGUGAAAUGCUUCCAAAGGAUCCCAAAAUGUUCAGUGAUGAGCACGUGCUGUGCUACUUCCAGUCCCUGCUCUCCUGCCAGUCUGGGGAGGUGGAGGAGAGGAGGGCAGGACUCAGAGACAUGAUGCCUGAACAUCAGCAGUUUUUGAGUAAUACUAGAAAAAGGUGGCUGAUUCUCCACUCCCUUUUACUGGUUACAUGCCAGCGUAAUUCUUCUGCAGUCACUGGAGUUAUACAAUACAACAGAGCAAACAUGCAGCUCGAUAUAUUUAAUGUCAAUAGAGUUAAUAAUGUUAAUGUUAACAGAGGCCAGAGCAGCAGGCAGGUCUGACCCCUGGCCUCUCUAAUUUGCCUCAGUAGGUCACACCUUAACCCUAUUAUUUUCCUUAAUUUUUUCUAACUUGUAAUCUUCCUGGGUAUCAUGAGAAUAAAGUUUGCCUCCCAAGUAACUCCUCUAACCCAAACAUAUCCCUGUUUAAAUAUUGGGAUUGGGAUAAAGGACACCAUGCUUAAAUGGUAUCCUUUGAAAUGGGGCACUGUGCAUAAAAAGGCUUGCCAGAUCCCUGUCAGAGGGGUUAGCUGAAGAGUGGGGAACUGGAAACAUUAACUGCAGCCAAUUUCUUUUUUCUAUUUGUUAAGCCACUUGGUCCAAACAGUAUGAACAUUUGGUGCAUUUAGUUUUAAAUAUGUCAAAUGCUCCUUUAGGAAAGAACUUUCAAAAAUCUAAAAUCUUCUUUUAAGAUCAAAUUCACU